This is a long non-coding RNA of Ipomoea nil (Japanese morning glory), 125 nucleotides long. RefSeq lists it as uncharacterized. The transcript is spliced from 3 exons. Lineage: Eukaryota; Viridiplantae; Streptophyta; Magnoliopsida; Solanales; Convolvulaceae. The record is from RefSeq and is a predicted model, not a curated record.
UUUUGGUUAAAAAAAUAGAGUUAAUGCCACAUGAGAUCCUCCGAGUAUAUUGGUCUUGUCACGUUUAGUCCUAAACUUUCAAAUUGACCAUUUGUGGUCCUUCGACUUUCCAAUUUAACCAUUCA